Molecule: ribosomal RNA, 1230 nt
Filed under: uncultured fungus
Lineage: Eukaryota; Fungi
Description: eukaryotic LSU rRNA
Rfam family: Eukaryotic large subunit ribosomal RNA (bases 544-1230)
Source: RNAcentral
CUUGGUCAUUUAGAGGAAGUAAAAGUCGUAACAAGGUCUCCGUAGGUGAACCUGCGGAGGGAUCAUUACCGAGUUCAUGCCCUUACGGGUAGAUCUCCCACCCUAUGUUAUUAUUACCUUUGUUGCUUUGGCGGGCCGUCAGGCUUCGGUCAGGCUACCGGCUCCGGCUGGUAAGCGCCCGCCAGAGAACCUCAAACUCUGAAUAUUAGUGUCGUCUGAGUACUAUAUAAUAGUUAAAACUUUCAACAACGGAUCUCUUGGUUCUGGCAUCGAUGAAGAACGCAGCGAAAUGCGAUAAGUAAUGUGAAUUGCAGAAUUCAGUGAAUCAUCGAAUCUUUGAACGCACAUUGCGCCCCUUGGUAUUCCGAGGGGCAUGCCUGUUCGAGCGUCAUUACAACCCUCAAGCACUGCUUGGUAUUGGGCUCCGCUGGUUCCAGCGGGCCUUGAAAUCAGUGGCGGCGCCUUCAGGCUCUGAGCGUAGUAAAUAUUCCUCGCUACGGAGUCCUGAACGGCGGUGGCCAUCAACCCCCAACUUUCUAAGUUUGACCUCGGAUCAGGUAGGGAUACCCGCUGAACUUAAGCAUAUCAAUAAGCGGAGGAAAAGAAACCAACAGGGAUUGCCUCAGUAACGGCGAGUGAAGCGGCAACAGCUCAAAUUUGAAAUCUGGCUCUUUCAGGGUCCGAGUUGUAAUUUGUAGAAGAUGCUUCGGGUGUGGCUCCGGUCUAAGUUCCUUGGAACAGGACGUCAUAGAGGGUGAGAAUCCCGUAUGUGACUGGGUGCCUUCGCCUAUGUGAAGCUCUUUCGACGAGUCGAGUUGUUUGGGAAUGCAGCUCAAAAUGGGUGGUAAAUUUCAUCUAAAGCUAAAUAUUGGCCAGAGACCGAUAGCGGACAAGUACCGUGAGGGAAAGAUGAAAAGCACUUUGGAAAGAGAGUUAAACAGUACGUGAAAUUGUUGAAAGGGAAACGUUUGAAGUCAGUCGCGUCGGCCGAGACUCAGCCUCGCUUUCCGCUCGGUGCACUUCUCGGUUGACGGGUCAGCAUCAAUUUUGACCGCCGGAUAAAGGUCGGGGGAACGUGGCAUCUCUCGGGAUGUGUUAUAGCCCUCGAUUCGCAUACGGCGAUUGGGACUGAGGAACUCAGCGUGCCUUUAUGGUCGGGGUAUCAACCCACGUAACGCGCUCAGGAUGCUGGCAUAAUGGCUUUAAGCGACCCGUCUUGAAACACGGACC